RNAcentral lists this transfer RNA (76 nucleotides) under [Clostridium] innocuum. RNAcentral describes it as "tRNA-Arg". It matches the Rfam family "tRNA". Rfam says of the family: Transfer RNA (tRNA) molecules are approximately 80 nucleotides in length. Their secondary structure includes four short double-helical elements and three loops (D, anti-codon, and T loops). RNAcentral also lists the same sequence under 9 other names. The record is from RNAcentral. Lineage: Bacteria; Bacillati; Bacillota; Clostridia; Eubacteriales; Clostridiaceae.
GUCCUCGUAGCACAAAGGAUAAUGCAACUGCCUCCUAAGCAGUAGAGUGAUGGUUCGAGUCCAUUCGAGGACGCCA